AGGGCCGUUCCUUUGUCUGCUGCCUUCCAACGGAAAGUUUUGGGUUCGGUCCAGAAACGGCGGGGAAGUCGGGGAUGGCGAAAGGAGCCGCGGGUCUGGAGCUGAAGGUUGUGGCGUUGAAUUUGGAAUCCUAAAGAAUCCGUGUUUGAUUUAUAACUGUUUUAUUUCCUUUCAGUUUGAAAUGCCGUCGUAGCGAUGUAGGAAAAAGGAGUUUUGGCCUCUGCCCUACAACUGAAUCUGCUGCUCUGCCACCCCUGCGUGAGCGCACGGAGAGAGGAAGGCUCUGAGCCGUGCCUGGGCUCACGCAGUGCCUUCCCAGGGCUGUGCUCCCAAUCAGGAUUUUCUGCUAAUGCGUUUACGGUUACUUAAAGCUUAGGCUGGGGAGCACAGAGAGGCCUUUGCUGAGUUAGGAGGUUGGGAAGGAGCAGAUGCUGAGAGCUGUGCUUACGGUGUGUGAGAGGAUUCUGGCCGGAUGGGACGUGUUUGGUGACUUCAUGCUUGCAGAGCAGCCUUAUCUGUUUUGUUUAAGACCUCGUUGUGGAGGUCUCCGUGUCUCUGGUUUCCUUUAAAUGCUGCUUGCUGUGUAAUGGUAGUGCUUGAAUGGGGAAUUAAGAGGAUGUUCUUCUCUCCUGCUGGGGGGAAAAAAAACCUCAAAUAUUUAAAAGCGAACCCUUGGUGUUUUGAAGGUAACGUUGGGAAUAGUGAUGAUGUCCAGCACUUCUUUUUUCUUAAUUAUUUUCUUUCCUGAUGCCAGUGUUGGAACAGCUGGCAAAAACUGGUCACUGAUCUUCCUUGUGUUCUCCGGAUCGCAGAUCUUGACUAAGUGAUUUCCUUGCUGCUUGGUGUGGGCAGUUGAGUCAGGGCUGCUCUGCAGAAGGCAGCGUUGCUACCUGUAAUUCCACAUUCCCUCAAAGGCUCAUGGAUGAAUACCUGCUGCUGAGAGAGGAUUUAAUUAAGGAGCUGGUCACUCUGGUGUAGCUUUUUAGAAAGUGGGAGCUCCUUGAUCUAGUCUGGUGCUAUACAAGCGUUACGAGGAUUGAGUAGGAGUGAAAAACAUUUAUUUGUUGUUCUUGCAUCAUGAUCUUACCUUUUGCCAUGUGUUAGAAGGCUCUUGAAGAAAAGUCAAUAAAACACAGGCCUUCAUUGUGCUCUGGUCAUGAGCUGAGCUGGCAAAGCUUUGUUAGCUUGAAAUUAAAGUGAGUCUUCAUUAGAGGUCAGCUGUGAAGUGCCAGAAAAGCGGAAUUCAUGAGUGAUCACAAAGUGGAGCUUUGAGUGGAAAAAUUGAGAGUUAUUGAGUUGUUUCUCUUAGCUGUUUGAAGCUAAUCAGUGAGGUGCGAGGCAGAAUUGCAAAGCAGGGUGGAUUUAUCACUUUGAAACCACUGCAAAACAUGCAACUUCCUUUCUAUUCUGUAAGCCAGUCGUUUGGUUUGUUCCCUCUUUUCUGUGCUUGUUAAUUCUGAGGUCUUGUCUUCUAGAUCUAAUGACAGUAGCACAAAGCAAAGGACAGAUUUUCUUUUCCUGAAGCCAGGGCAGGUCCACAGAAGAGAUCUGACUACUCACAUGCUUUUCAUUUCCUUAGAACACAUCUUUAUCUGGAAAAUCAGUACGUGUGCUGGUGGUGUGAUGCCAGCUGAGCACAUGGACUUCUUACAGAAACAAAGCCUUCCUGUAGUUUGGCCUCUGGUGGGAGGAGAAAAUGCUGCCCAGGCAGUGGCUCUGCAGCAUGUGAGCUGAUUGCUCCCCUGUUCUGGUUGUGCCAGACCUGUCUGAGCACCAUCACCAGGGCAGGACGGCGCAUCGGAAGCGUGGCUGGACUGGCCGAGCCACUUAAGGCUGCAGGAAGUAACGUAAUUAAUAAGACUUAGCUCUCCCACAUCUUGUACCUGACAAUCUCAAGUCACUUGACAGUGCUAAUUAAAGCUAAUCACGCUCCUCUGUUUUUAGUAAAUAGCUAUUAUCCCCACUUCACUCUUGCUUUAAUGAAUGGCAGUGUCAGGCGAUGUGAAUCACUGGCAGUGGUGGGAAUGCAACCUGUGCAUGAUGCCUUCCUGUCCUUGGGCCAGCUUACACGUCUGCCUGAACAUGGCUGCUUCACGCCUGUUCCAGCACUGUUACAGCACAUUAGAAGGUGGGAUGUCCUGCUGACUCACAGAUAUAUAACUUUUCACCUGACUGUGGUUGCCCUCAUGCAGCACUGAUCUCCCUGCAUCUUGCUAAAAAGUUGGAAAAGUUGAGGAUGCUUUGAGUUUGCCCUUCAGAGGAGCUUUUGAUCCUCUGAGUGGGAAGGCAGAGCGGUGUCAGAACUGCACUCUCGCUUCUCCUGUUUCAUGUUGGCAGCGACUUCAUUAUGAGGAGAAAAAUGUAGUGUGGUGUGACCUAGGGAUUGCACAGCUCAGCCUCAGAACUCUGCAAGAGUUAAAUUUCACUGAUGAAACGUUAGCAGAGGAUGGCUCAAGCAAUGUGGUAUUAUAAAAAGAUUGUCCAGCCUCACAAAAAAAAGAGUUAAUAAUUAACUGUGAAAAAAAAUCUUAAUGAGAAUCCCAGGAACUCCCUCCAGAAGCAUUUGUCUGUAGGCAUGGAACUGUGAGAGGCGAGUCAGCUCACAUACCUUGGCAGCACUGUGCAGGCUGGUGAGGAUAUCCAGGAGGAACUAAACCACAAACUGGUAGGGUAACAGCUGACUUGACCAUUUAAACUCAGUUCAGUUAUAAAGUAUCUGUCGUGUGUGAAGAGUGGAGCUGUAAAUCUUCACCUGUAUUUUCUCCCUUGGCAUAGGUACUUUGUGCUGUCAGUGGAAAUGUGAGCUAGAAGAAUGAUGACUGAACUGCCAUGGAAAAUAUGUACCUCGUUAAUGUGGCAGCUGUUGCAUAGAAGAAAGAGUUUCUGAAGGAGUCAGCCGUGAGCUGUAGCUUAAUGCAAGAAAGCUUCUGCUGAGAAUGCAGCCAUCCUCUGGAACUGCUUGUAGUGACACCAUUGCACUUGAGCUCCUGAAAAUGCACUGAUGUGGACGUUGGCUUCUUUUAAACCUUUUUUUUUUUCCUGUUUAAUUUGAUUGAAUCUCCAAGCUAGCAAAAGGGCCUUUGACUACAUAUAUCAUCCUUUGCUAUCUUCAGAUCUGGCUUCAACUUUCCAAAGCUGUUGCUGAUCUACGCUGUGCUGUGAGUCUCCCAGACUGCCCCAGGAUCCUCACUGCAUGAUCUAAGUGCAAAGACUCCCAGCUCUGCCAGCUCUCUGGAGCCUCAGCAUCUGCACUUCUGACAUUGAUCCUGCAGGGAAUGGGAGAACCCAGCCUGCCCUCUUACUGUGUUGUGUUAGAGACCAGCCUCUCUCAAGCUGCAGUGCAUUAAGCAUUGUUCAGGUAGUUUCCACGUGAAGAAAGCACUGAUAAGUACAUGUGCUUGCCUCGAGCUUUUUAUUAAAACCAUGCUAAGAACCUGGAGCAGUGUUGGCUGCUAAGGUUGGUGACCUUGUGGAAACAAAGAACUCCCCAGUCUGAUUCCCCCUAUGCUCUAAUUGCACUCAGCAUAAGUACAUCUCUAGUUCUUCCUAUGUUAAUGAGAAGAGACACCAAAGAGGGAAGGUUGGGUUUCCAGACAGAUGGGCUUUUUCAGAACUGCUCCAGGCAGCUUUCUGUGGCAUUUGCUGUGUUCUGCUAAGCAUUUUACCAGCUAAAGUCUUAAAAAGCAAAUAAUCUGUAAUACAAACCCUCAAACCCAACA
Non-coding RNA from Meleagris gallopavo (turkey), 3719 nucleotides. NCBI's taxonomy places the organism in Eukaryota, Metazoa, Chordata, Aves, Galliformes, Phasianidae. The record is from RefSeq and is a predicted model, not a curated record.